RNAcentral lists this long non-coding RNA (208 nucleotides) under Homo sapiens (human). Its description in RNAcentral is "HSALNT0330525". The record is from RNAcentral. Lineage: Eukaryota; Metazoa; Chordata; Mammalia; Primates; Hominidae.
GGAAAGCUGUGAAGACCCCUUGGCAACAUAGUCACAGGCUCUCCAAAGACCUGGGAAAAAAUUACUUCAUGUCCUUGUAAAAACGUUUUCACAAAUUUAAGUGCACCAGCUUUGAAGCAAGACAGAAUUGGGAUCAAGUCCCUGUUCCACCCUUACCAGUUCCCAUAUGGCCACGAGGGGAGAUGCCAGAAAAACCAGGGAAAACCAA